The sequence is a transfer RNA, 83 nucleotides long. It matches the Rfam family "tRNA". From Rfam's summary of the family: Transfer RNA (tRNA) molecules are approximately 80 nucleotides in length. Their secondary structure includes four short double-helical elements and three loops (D, anti-codon, and T loops).
GCGGUGGUGGCCGAGUUGGUCUAAGGCGUCGCGUUAAGGCCGCGAUCUCUUCGGAGGCGCGGGUUCGAAUCCCGUCUACCGCA